Molecule: long non-coding RNA, 794 nt
Organism: Scomber scombrus (Atlantic mackerel)
Lineage: Eukaryota; Metazoa; Chordata; Actinopteri; Scombriformes; Scombridae
Exons: 9
Source: RefSeq, a predicted model, not a curated record
CAUGGACAGACUCGUGUUCAGUCUCUGUGUGGCGCCUCACUCUGUAGAAGGAGACAAUCAUCGACCUGCUGCCAUUUUUAAUGACUUCUAAUACCUCGUGGGCUAUAGUAGAAGAGAGUAGAAUGAGGCCCCAUGAGUCUGCUGCGCCAAGAGAGUCCUGGAGAAGCAGAUUCAGACACAGCUGAACAAAGAUCACACAUGGGCACAGCUGCUACCUCAGACCCUUGGAUCACUGAGAGGACAUGUGGUCUUAUGCACUGGGUGCUGCUCUCCUACCAUGCAUGGCUGCAUUUGGAGCUGCAGCCAUGACUUUAAUAGUGUGUGUAGCGGGAUGACUGGAGACAAACUGAGCAUUUGGCGCUACAGUCAUGACUUGAAGGUGUGUGUAGCAGGGUGACUGGAUACACACGGAGCUUUUGGAGCUGCAGCGAUGACUUGAUGGUGUGUGACGUGGGAUGACUAGAGACGCAAUGCUCUAACUCCUGUGCACACUGACAGAAGCGGCCUCAGUCCUAUAGCUGUGUGACUGUGCCAGGCCAAGCUGGAUGACACUGAGAAUGCAAUGAAUCACCCAGGUGCUGAGUCAGGACUACAAGCUUCCAACUUUACAAAGUCAUCCAGGAAAUUAAAGCGUUUCUAACUUGGAGGCAGGAUUUAUUUUUAAUGUCAGCCUCUGAAAAAAGACUCUUGCUUUCAUGAACUGUUCUUUUGCUCUUGAAAGCUUUUCCCCACCUAUUAAAUGUUUUUACACUCAUGAAAAUGUAUUUAUGGAAAUAAAUUAAUGGUUGACAACA